Long non-coding RNA from Drosophila miranda, 958 nucleotides. RefSeq lists it as uncharacterized. The record is from RefSeq and is a predicted model, not a curated record. Lineage: Eukaryota; Metazoa; Arthropoda; Insecta; Diptera; Drosophilidae. The transcript is spliced from 2 exons.
ACUAAUCUUCUGCUGUCUUACAAAUAAAAUAACUUUAACAUUAAUAAAUAAAUAACAAAAAUUUAUUGUUCCACAUUUACCCUUAAGCCAAACUCUUUCCGAUUAUCCAGGAUAUAUUUUGAAGAAUUUGUCGGGUCAAGUCGUAUGCGGCCCUUGAGGUAUGCCGGUUUACAUAUAUCACUUUAUAUUAUAAUAAUUGUCAUUAUGGUUCCACUUGCGAUGUGUGAGUGAGUACUUACAGAUACAAAAAAUUGUUUUAUAAAUAAAAUAGUAGCAAAACCGAAGACCCCCUUGCAGGGACAUACCGACGAAUCCGACGAAUGUCAGAUUUACCUGAUACUGAUAGAACUAUCGGUCAAAGUCCAUAUACUCUGGGCGAAUGGGGCUAACAGCUAAAGCGAGGGCCAGGCAACGCCUCCCAAAACAGUUUUAGUUGAAGUACACGCUCCAGGACAGCGGAGGUACUUUUUACACAUUGUACAAAAUGAUACUUCAAAACAAAAUAUUGAUUGGAUGGCAACGACCAUUUGGGGGGGAGGGGGAUAAAUCAAACAAUUAUUUCAAUAUCCGUUUCGAUGGUUAACUGAAAUCGAGGAUUCAGAGCGGUGGAUUGAAGAAAAGAAAGCAAAGGUUAAGAUUAAGCAAACUCUGUAGCGGCAUGCACAUAAUGGAUAUUAGCCUCAAAAAUAUGGACAAACGAAGGGAUGCUCUUAUGUUUAGCUACUAGUGGGGGAUAAGGAUAUAUAUACAUAUUCUAUACAUUUCAUUCAAUAUGAAUGAGUGUGCCAGGUUCUGGUUACAUACUUUUCAGUCAGCAUCUAGACCUUUUUUUUUAGUUUUGGGGUGUGCUAAAACAGGUGUGAUAUUUCUUUCAUUGAGUAAAUAUUCUUGAUCAAUGUUAUUAUUAUUAUUGUGUGCAUUGACUCCGUGUUGAGUUCCCUAUACAGUCUUUAGAAAA